This 96-nucleotide small RNA is filed under the name Salmonella enterica subsp. enterica serovar Derby. RNAcentral's name for it is "partial RtT sRNA". It matches the Rfam family "RtT RNA", at positions 1 to 95 of the family's 130-position model. Rfam says of the family: This family represents a bacterial cis-regulatory element known as RtT RNA. The exact function of RtT is unknown although it is thought that it may be involved in changing the cellular response in relation to amino acid starvation. The record is from RNAcentral. RNAcentral also lists the same sequence under 1 other name. Lineage: Bacteria; Pseudomonadati; Pseudomonadota; Gammaproteobacteria; Enterobacterales; Enterobacteriaceae.
UAUCUCUCCGUACGGGGAAGGAUGAGAAGCUUCGACUAAGGUUCGAUUCGAGCGCAGCGAGAAAGCGUUGCCGCAGGCAACGACCCGAAGGGCGAA